This 2773-nucleotide long non-coding RNA is filed under the name Sus scrofa (pig). Its description in RNAcentral is "lncRNA (ENSSSCG00050070736.1)". Lineage: Eukaryota; Metazoa; Chordata; Mammalia; Artiodactyla; Suidae. The record is from RNAcentral.
GCUCAGCGGCGCCCGAGGGGGCUGCAGACACUGUACGACCCGGGCUCCCCAGCCCGGGCCGCUCUCCCAACACUGGAGUCUUUCGAGCCUCGGAGGAGCGCAGGCGCCGCUGCGCUCCCAGCCCGUCCGGCCACCAGGGGGCGCCCGCCCGGCGCGGGGCUGGAGCUGCUUUCUUUCCCAGGACUGGACGAGGGCCGGCGGAGUUGCUUUCCAAGAUGUACCCCGGGCCGGCUGUUUCCCAGUGAAUAAAAAGACAUUUAUAAUCAUUAAAGCUUCGAACAUGUGAUACGUGACUGGAUGGAGUUCCUGGAGAGCUGUAUUAACAUGUUUCAGAGUUGAAUUCUGAGAUUGUUCCCAUUCACUCAAAAGAAGAAAAAAAAAGAAAAAGAAAAAAAGAAGAAAAAAAAAGUGUGAGUUCCUGCAUCAAACUGCAGUCAGGAAAGAGUCCUUGAGCAAUAACGAUACUUGCGGACGUGACUUUGAAUGUCAAGAUUAAGAGAAACCUGGCGAGGACGAUGGGAUUAAGAUGGCGGAGUAGAAGGACUGCAGCUCAACCUCUCUCCUAAAAACAACCAAAUUCACAACUAAAGGCUGAGCAAUCUCCACCCAAAUGGACCGGAAACCUUAAAAAAGAUACCCUAUACUCCAGAAGACAAAGAGGAGGCCACAUCAAGAGACUUCAAAAGAAACACUGACAUUUCCUGGAUCUUCAGCCUGCCAAUCUUGGAUCAGAACUAUACUAUUGGCUCUCUUGGGUCUCCAACUGACUACAGAUCCUGGGACUUGUCAACCUUCAUAAUCAUGUCAGAGAAAACAGAUCCAGUUUUAUGCAGAAUAAAAGUUAACUGUGAAGUGGUCUUAAUAUUUCCCUUGAAGAAUAUACACACAUGCAGCAAAGAUGAGAACAGUGACAACCUUAGCCUAAAUGAAAUACGACAUCAAGAACCAACACAUUUCCCUCCAGAAACAGCACAGAUGGAAAGUUUCUUUAAAUGUAAGGAAGAGGAUCCUAAAGGUUCUAAUCAAGAAUUCUUUAGUUGGGAAAAGGCAGCCAUGUGACUGAGUUUCUGCAAUGGACUGGUGAACAGAAAGUAACAUCUAAUAGAUGGGCUACUUCAAGAGCUUUCGCCUUUUAUCAAAAUGAGACUGGAUUCAUUGGCAGCUAUGGAUUGAAAAAGGCAGAGACAUAAACUGGAAGGAACAUGCAUCCUUGAAUCAUGGAUUAGAGAAGAACCAUUGCUAAUCAGAAACGCUUGGUUUAUACUUAAAUAGAAUAGGUUCUUUUAUACUUGAAGCAUUAUAUAUGGAGGAUGGUUGCUUCUUACAAAAACUGUGACUACUUGUCAGUAUAUGGAACAUACAUUUUUAUUCCUUCCAUCAUUACUAGCAUAUAUGCAUUUUUUCUUUUUUUUUUCUAUAUAAAUAAUCUAUUCUGUACUGUCAGUCCAAAUAUAUGAUUAUUUUCCUGGAAUUUUUUGUAUACAAAUGUAGGAUGUUUUUUAAAGAUUUGAUAAAUAUUUCCAAAAUUCUGGACUAAUAUCUUCUUUCCACUGAUUUGUGCUGAAAUAACUUCUACAAAUACUCUACAUAAACAACACACUGUCUGCCUCAGGAAAAUGAAUUCUGAUUUCUGUUUGUUCUAGAUGCAAGUCCCACUGUUUAAAUUAUUAGAGUUUUAUCAUACAUCUUAAUAAUUGCUAUUAUGAACUCUCACCUUAUUUCUCUUUCUCAAGGGCCUAUUUGUUUCCAGUCACAUUCUUUUGAUAUUCUUUUCAGAAGCACUUUGUUAAGAUCCUUAAAAAUUCCAUAGAGAGUAUUACAUGAGAUGCAUUUAUUUAAUAAAUAUUUUUUAGGAAAUUCAAUAUAUUUAUAAUAUGUAGCAUUUCCAACCAUAAAGAUAAUUUUAUGUUUGCUUUGUUAAUCCACUUUAGUAGAAAUUUGUACUUUUCUUCAUGUACUCAUCCAUACUUUAGUCAAACUAUUAUUUGUAUUGCAAUAUGAAUGGAAUACAUGAGAUUUAAACUUUUGGGAAAAUGUAUGUUUUAAAAAGCAAUUGUAUUUGGAAUCAUUUUCUGUACAAAAGAUUCUGCUUUAUAAAAAUAAGUUAACAUAGAAAUCUAUACACAGAACUCCAUAUGACCCAGCAAUCCCACUCUUGGGCAUAUAUCCAGAUAAAACUUUCCUUGAAAAAGACGCAUGCACACACAUGUUCAUUGCAGUACUAUUCACAAUAGCUAAGACGUGGAAACAACCUAAAUGUCCAUCGACAGAUGAUUGGAUUAAGAAGAUGUGGUAUAUAUACACAAUGGAAUACAACUCAGCCAUAAAAAGAACAAAACAAUGCCAUUUGCAGCAACAUGGAUAGAACUAGAGACUCUCAUACUGAGUAUAGUAAGUCGGAAAGAGAAAGACAAAUAUGAUAUGAUUUCACUUAUAUCUGGAAUCUAAUAUACGGCGCAAAUGAAACUUUCCACAGAAAAGAAACUCAAGGACAUGGAGAGCAGACUUGUGGUUGUCAAGAGGGAGGGGAGGGAGUGGGAGGAACUGGGAAUUUGGGGUUAAUAGAUGCAAACUAUUGCCUUUGGAAUGGAUAAGCAAUGGGGUCCUGCUGUAUAGCACUGGGAACUAUGUCUGGUCACUUGUGAUAGAGCAUGAUAAUGUGAGAAAAAUGAAUGUAUACAUGUAUGUGUGACUGGGUCACCUCACUGUGUGGUAGAAAAUUGACAGAACACUGUAAAUCAGCUUUAAUGGAAAAAAUAAAAAUCAUUAAUAA